CACGUAGGGCGCAAGCGUUGUCCGGAAUUAUUGGGCGUAAAGAGCUCGUAGGCGGUCUGUUGCGUCCGCUGUGAAAACUCGGGGCUUAACCCCGAGCCUGCAGUGGAUACGGGCAGACUAGAGGUAGGUAGGGGAGAAUGGAAUUCCCGGUGUAGCGGUGAAAUGCGCAGAUAUCGGGAGGAACACCGGUGGCGAAGGCAGCUCGCUGGGACGUUACUGACGCUGAGACGCGAAAGCGUGGGGAGCAAACAGG
Molecule: ribosomal RNA, 253 nt
Filed under: uncultured bacterium
Lineage: Bacteria
Description: partial 16S ribosomal RNA
Rfam family: Bacterial small subunit ribosomal RNA
Source: RNAcentral